CGGACGGGUGAGUAACGCGUGGAAAACCUGCCGUAUACUGGGGGAUAACACUUAGAAAUAGGUGUUAAUACCGCAUAAGCGCACAGCUUCGCAUGAAGCAGUGUGAAAAACUCUGGUGGUAUACGAUGGUUCCGCGUCUGAUUAGCUAGUUGGUGGGGUAAUGGCCUACCAAGGCAACGAUCAGUAGCCGGCCUGAGAGGGUGAACGGCCACAUUGGGACUGAGACACGGCCCAAACUCCUACGGAAGGCAGCAG
Molecule: ribosomal RNA, 255 nt
Filed under: uncultured bacterium
Lineage: Bacteria
Description: partial 16S ribosomal RNA
Rfam family: Bacterial small subunit ribosomal RNA
Source: RNAcentral